Molecule: long non-coding RNA, 208 nt
Filed under: Elaeis guineensis (African oil palm)
Lineage: Eukaryota; Viridiplantae; Streptophyta; Magnoliopsida; Arecales; Arecaceae
Description: long non-coding RNA (EGUI_LNC061255)
Source: RNAcentral
CCGUGAAUCUCAAUAACAAAGAAUUGGCAAUUGAUGUGGAAAGGAACCUAGAACACCUGGAAUCUCGGAGAAAUAUUCAUUUUUAUGAAUUGUUCAUUCAAUUUAUUUCAAAUAAGUCGUAUCUUAUUCAAACCAAUCAAUAGAGCUGGGGUUAUAGUUAAAGCAGCCAGUAGAAAACCGAAAUAACUAGUUAUAGUAGGCAUGAAAG